This is a long non-coding RNA of Haliotis rufescens (red abalone), 1276 nucleotides long. RefSeq lists it as uncharacterized. The record is from RefSeq and is a predicted model, not a curated record. Lineage: Eukaryota; Metazoa; Mollusca; Gastropoda; Lepetellida; Haliotidae. The transcript has 2 exons.
UUACUGUCUGUGUUGAAACUCUGUUUCCUGCAACUCUCUGAAGGUCAUUCUGGAGAGAUCUGGCCGUAGUAAACCUGUUUCUCCGGGCUAGGGUGGCUAAAUACUGGUCCUCACGAGGAGUUGUCACCCUUGGACGACCUGUUAUCGCUCUUGAGAUGACACUGCGGUGAACAUUAAAAUGAUUGGCAGCAGUUUGGGUGAGACCCCCCUGUACCAUUCCAACAAUCUGAGCAACCUCAGUUGGCGUUAAGUGACGCCUAGCCAUGUCUAAAGUGUUAAUGUCGACAAAUUGCCCUUGCUGGCAGUUUUUAAGCAAUCAGGGUGCAUGGGUGAAGUGUGUAAAUCAGGCAUGACGUGCAUUUUGCAUGCGUGUUUUGAGGAUGGUUGUGUUCAGGCGAUGUUAUCAGUGUUAUCAGGAAAAUCUACAUGGAAAAGGCUUUUAGUCGAGUAUUCGUAGGUAAUUCUCCUGCCUGAAUUUGUUCUCAAUGGAUGGCAUUCAACACUGAUGAGAAUGUUGCACGGAAAAUAAUACUUGUUGCUUAACUUUUUGUGAGGAGUAUAAUACUGGCGCAUAUUUGCUGGAAAUCUUGAUGAGAGUAAUUCUUUAAGCGUGUAUCAUUUGUCUCAGCAAUGGGCUAAGGGGAACAACUCUGUCAUUCUUCCAGGUUCAAGCAACUAAGCGUCACCUCAUGACCAAAUGCUUUUACCUCAUUGGCUGAUGCAGCUUUGUCAGCCAUGUUCUUACGAAUGCAAAUUUACUGACCUAAAUUCCUUCGUUGUUUUCGGGACGUAAAGUGAUUGUAAUCGUCAUUUGAUCGACUACGUCACGUCACACGAUCGUCAAAGAAAGAAAUGUUCACAGCAGAGUCGUCAGACUGGGACGAUCUAAUUGACUUGUGGGACCAUGUCCUCAACAGUAACCUUGACCCGAAAAUGGCAAUUAAAACAUACAUCCAGGAUGGAAGCAAUCCUACAGUGACAAAUGAUGAUGAUGAUGAUGAUGAUGCUGAUGACCCCUGGACCAGAUGCAGCGUAAUUUCAAUUCCCUCAUCCACAUCUUUGUCAAGUGACAUUGUGUUUGACAUUCACUUGGUGAAGCGAAGUCGGAAAUCGAAAAAGAUGCCAUUGAUAACCCAGUGAUCAGAGGUGUGCGGAACUUCUUCCGACGGUCAAGCCGCCCAUGAACUUUGCUUUGUAUUUGUCUGUACAAAAAAUACGUUAUUGUUGUUUUAUAACCUUACUGAUGGUUUACGGUUGUAUAAAAUUUUGAACUGUU